GGGAAUGUGGCUUAGUGGUAGAGUGCUUGCCUAGCAUGCAUGAAACUAUGGGUUCAAUUCUUAGUACCA
RNAcentral lists this transfer RNA (69 nucleotides) under Dipodomys ordii (Ord's kangaroo rat). It matches the Rfam family "tRNA". From Rfam's summary of the family: Transfer RNA (tRNA) molecules are approximately 80 nucleotides in length. The record is from Rfam by way of RNAcentral. Lineage: Eukaryota; Metazoa; Chordata; Mammalia; Rodentia; Heteromyidae.